This 446-nucleotide ribosomal RNA is filed under the name uncultured bacterium. RNAcentral's name for it is "partial 16S ribosomal RNA". It matches the Rfam family "Bacterial small subunit ribosomal RNA", at positions 329 to 792 of the family's 1533-position model. The record is from RNAcentral.
UUCCAGACUCCUACGGGAGGCAGCAGUGGGGAAUAUUGCACAAUGGGGGAAACCCUGAUGCAGCGACGCCGCGUGAGCGAUGAAGUAUUUCGGUAUGUAAAGCUCUAUCAGCAGGGAAGAAAAUGACGGUACCUGACUAAGAAGCCCCGGCUAACUACGUGCCAGCAGCCGCGGUAAUACGUAGGGGGCAAGCGUUAUCCGGAUUUACUGGGUGUAAAGGGAGCGUAGACGGCGGUGCAAGCCAGAUGUGAAAGCCCGGGGCUCAGCCCCGGGACUGCAUUUGGAACUGUGCUGCUAGAGUGUCGGAGAGGCAGGCGGAAUUCCUAGUGUAGCGGUGAAAUGCGUAGAUAUUAGGAGGAACACCGGCGGCGAAGGCGGCCUGCUGGACCGCUACUGACGUUGAGGCUCGAAAGCGUGGGGAGCGAACAGGAUUAGAUACCCCAGUA